This 252-nucleotide ribosomal RNA is filed under the name uncultured bacterium. Its description in RNAcentral is "partial 16S ribosomal RNA". It matches the Rfam family "Bacterial small subunit ribosomal RNA", at positions 524 to 776 of the family's 1533-position model. The record is from RNAcentral.
UACGUAGGGGGCUAGCGUUAUCCGGAAUUACUGGGCGUAAAGGGUGCGUCGGUGGUUUUUCAAGUCAGGAGUGAAAGGCUACGGCUCAACCGUAGUAAGCUCUUGAAACUGUAAAACUUGAGUGCAGGAGAGGAGAGUAGAAUUCCUAGUGUAGCGGUGAAAUGCGUAGAUAUUAGGAGGAAUACCAGUUGCGAAGGCGGCUCUCUGGACUGUAACUGACACUGAGGCACGAAAGCGUGGGGAGCAAACAGG